Molecule: long non-coding RNA, 205 nt
Organism: Nanorana parkeri
Lineage: Eukaryota; Metazoa; Chordata; Amphibia; Anura; Dicroglossidae
Exons: 2
Source: RefSeq, a predicted model, not a curated record
ACCAAAAAACCCUGGAGACAACAAACAUGAACACUGCAAGACGAAUACAAUCCCUCCGGGCUCACAGGCAAAGGAUUCCUGCAACUUAUGUGGACAGCUGCCAAAACCAGCCCUGCAUCUGCUCAGAACAAUGGUGUAUUGAUGAGCUAGCCACUUACCUGCUGAUCACCAUCAUUAUUGUAAUUGCACUAUUUGGGGCAUGGGC